Molecule: transfer RNA, 77 nt
Filed under: Candidatus Latescibacterota bacterium
Lineage: Bacteria; Pseudomonadati; Candidatus Latescibacterota
Description: tRNA-Arg
Rfam family: tRNA
About the family: Transfer RNA (tRNA) molecules are approximately 80 nucleotides in length. Their secondary structure includes four short double-helical elements and three loops (D, anti-codon, and T loops). Further hydrogen bonds mediate the characteristic L-shaped molecular structure. tRNAs have two regions of fundamental functional importance: the anti-codon, which is responsible for specific mRNA codon recognition, and the 3' end, to which the tRNAs corresponding amino acid is attached (by aminoacyl-tRNA synthetases). tRNAs cope with the degeneracy of the genetic code in two manners: having more than one tRNA (with a specific anti-codon) for a particular amino acid; and 'wobble' base-pairing, i.e. permitting non-standard base-pairing at the 3rd anti-codon position.
Source: RNAcentral
GGGCUAUUAGCUCAGCUGGAUAGAGCGCCGGUCUCCGGAACCGGAGGUCCCAGGUUCGAAGCCUGGCUAGCUCACCA